AGGGAAUAUUGGGCAAUGGAGGAAACUCUGACCCAGCAACGCCGCGUGGAGGAUGAAGGUCUUCGGAUUGUAAACUUCUGAUCUAUGGAAAGAAUAAAUGACGGUACCAUAGGAGAAAGCUACGGCCAACUACGUGCCAGCAGCCGCGGUAAUACGUAGGUAGCAAGCAUUGUCCGGAAUAACUGGGCGUAAAGGGAGAGUAGGUGGUAAAGUAAGUUAAAUGUGAAAUUCCGAGGCUUAACUUCGGGGGUGCAUUUGAUACUGCUUUACUAGAGUGCAGGAGGGGUAAGAGGAAUUCCUAGUGUAGAGGUAAAAUUCGUAGAUAUUAGGAGGAACACCAGAGGCGAAGGCGUCUUACUGGAAUGUAACUGACACUGAGGCUCGAAAGCGUGGGGAGCAAAC
This 402-nucleotide ribosomal RNA is filed under the name uncultured bacterium. RNAcentral describes it as "bacterial SSU rRNA". It matches the Rfam family "Bacterial small subunit ribosomal RNA", at positions 356 to 773 of the family's 1533-position model. The record is from RNAcentral.